RNAcentral lists this ribosomal RNA (449 nucleotides) under uncultured bacterium. RNAcentral's name for it is "partial 16S ribosomal RNA". It matches the Rfam family "Bacterial small subunit ribosomal RNA", at positions 29 to 523 of the family's 1533-position model. The record is from RNAcentral.
AAUGAACGCUGGCGGCAUGCCUAACACAUGCAAGUCGAACGAGACCUUCGGGUCUAGUGGCGCACGGGUGCGUAACGCGUGGGAAUCUGCCCUUGGGUUCGGAAUAACAGUUAGAAAUGACUGCUAAUACCGGAUGAUGUCGAAAGACCAAAGAUUUAUCGCCCGAGGAUGAGCCCGCGUAGGAUUAGCUAGUUGGUGAGGUAAAGGCUCACCAAGGCGACGAUCCUUAGCUGGUCUGAGAGGAUGAUCAGCCACACUGGGACUGAGACACGGCCCAGACUCCUACGGGAGGCAGCAGUGGGGAAUAUUGGACAAUGGGCGAAAGCCUGAUCCAGCAAUGCCGCGUGAGUGAUGAAGGCCUUAGGGUUGUAAAGCUCUUUUACCCGGGAUGAUAAUGACAGUACCGGGAGAAUAAGCUCCGGCUAACUUCGUGCCAGCAGCCGCCGUAA